This 180-nucleotide ribosomal RNA is filed under the name uncultured bacterium. RNAcentral describes it as "partial 16S ribosomal RNA". It matches the Rfam family "Bacterial small subunit ribosomal RNA", at positions 1320 to 1500 of the family's 1533-position model. The record is from RNAcentral.
GUGAAGUCGGAAUCGCUAGUAAUCGCGGAUCAGCAUGCCGCGGUGAAUACGUUCCCGGGCCUUGUACACACCGCCCGUCACACCAUGAGAGUUGGGAAUACCCGAAGCCUGUGAGCUAACUUAUAGAGGCAGCAGUCGAAGGUAGAAUCAAUGAUUGGGGUGAAGUCGUAACAAGGUAGC